Molecule: long non-coding RNA, 534 nt
Filed under: Ovis aries (sheep)
Lineage: Eukaryota; Metazoa; Chordata; Mammalia; Artiodactyla; Bovidae
Description: lncRNA (ENSOARG00000026131.1)
Source: RNAcentral
CCCGGGAGCCUUUUGGGGAUCAUUUUUUGCUCCCGGGCGCCCCGCAGGCCGGGCAACAUCUGCGUGGGAGGGUGAAAGACCCAAGCUAGCAGCACGGAGGAGAAGAGGGGGGAGCCAGGCAUUCAUCCCGGUCAAUUUUGGUUUCAGGUCGUGGCGGGGGGGGGGGAGGGGGGGGUGNNNNNNNNNNNNNNNNNAGAGGGGCUCGCCCCGGGGCAGGGGCAACGGAGGCGUAGCUGGCAGCCACGGGCAGGUGAAGACAGCGCUCUGCCGGCCAGCCACGUCUCCAGUGGGGUGGUGGUGCCUGCCAGCCACGGAGGCCCGGCGGCCAGGACGCGCACAGAGGGAUAUGAUAUGGUCCGGUGUGAUGGAGAGAGCAGGCGGGACCGUCCGGCCUCUCAGAGCGCUGGCCCCGCGGGGAGCCGGGAUAUCGCCGUUCCUUUAGCCUCCUGACGGAGCAGACGCUACUGCUGCUCUUCAGACACCCAGAACCCUCAAGAUGACAAGGUGGGAGGGCCCCGCCACACGCAGGGCGGC